This 498-nucleotide ribosomal RNA is filed under the name uncultured bacterium. RNAcentral's name for it is "partial 16S ribosomal RNA". It matches the Rfam family "Bacterial small subunit ribosomal RNA", at positions 28 to 523 of the family's 1533-position model. The record is from RNAcentral.
GACGAACGCUGGCGGCGUGCCUAACACAUGCAAGUCGAGCGGAGUCAGUAAGAGGAAGUUUUCGGAUGGAAUCUUGCUGGUUUAGCGGCGGACGGGUGAGUAACGCGUGAGCGACCAACCUUGCACAGGGGGAUAACGGACCGAAAGGUUCACUAAUACCGCAUGAGACCACGGUGUUGCAUGACACAGGGGUCAAAGGAGCAAUCCGGUGCAAGACGGGCUCGCGUCCGAUUAGGUAGUGGGAGGGGUAACGGCCCACCAAGCCUAUGAUCGGUAGCCGACAUGAGAGGGUGAUCGGCCACAUUGGAACUGAGAUACGGUCCAAACUCAUACGGGAGGCAGCAGUGGGGAAUAUUGGGCAAUGGGGGAAACCCUGACCCAGCAACGCCGCGUGAAGGAAGAAGGUUUUCGGAUUGUAAACUUCUGUCCUUGGUGAAGAGAAGAAGACGGUAGCCAAGGAGGAAGCCCCGGCUAACUACGUGCCAGCAGCCGCCGUAA